Molecule: long non-coding RNA, 266 nt
Filed under: Nicotiana benthamiana
Lineage: Eukaryota; Viridiplantae; Streptophyta; Magnoliopsida; Solanales; Solanaceae
Description: long non-coding RNA (NBEN_LNC039731)
Source: RNAcentral
CUUGUACAGGGAGUCCAGGAGGAGCCACAGUAGAUGGUCCAACGUUUGGAAUGGGUAAGACUUCUGUAGCGGAAGGUGAAGGAGGAGAUACAGUAGACUCCCUAAAGGCCGGUAUAGGUAAAACCUCAGAUAUAUCAAGAUGGUGAGGAUGGUCAGAAGAGGUAAAGAAAGGUUUAGACUCAAAAAAUGUGACAUCGGGUGAUAUAAGGUACCUACGAAGAUCAGGUGAAUAACAACGAUAGCCUUUCUGAGCACGAGAAUAACCA